AUCAAAUCAAGUACAAAAGGAAAUGCAACCUAAGCUUCACAACUAUAAUAUAAAGGCAAAAGUAUUUCUUGUACGAAAACCUACCUUCCACAGCCUUCUAUAUCACACACACCAAAGUAGAAAGUAAUCUACACAAUGUCUCAGACUGAAGUUAGCCUCCACAAUAUAAAUCCAGAAGCAAUCCAUUUGUAUCGUCUUCCCUCGCUGCAUAACAAUGGCUCUUAAGUAGAACAGCAAGAUCUAUUUGAAUAGUUGCCAGAAUCCGCAACAUUGAUUGUCGUUCCGGA
Molecule: unclassified non-coding RNA, 287 nt
Filed under: Hevea brasiliensis (rubber tree)
Lineage: Eukaryota; Viridiplantae; Streptophyta; Magnoliopsida; Malpighiales; Euphorbiaceae
Source: RNAcentral